ACAAAAAGUUCUAGUGUUCCUGACUUCAUCACAAGGAUGUUAAUAGUUCAAUCAAGAAAAACAAAAAUGAGCCAUAAAGCUUCCUCAUGGCCGGCCUAUACACAUACUACACAGGUGAAAUUCCUCGGGCAAGGGUUUGAAGAUAAGGGACUUACAAUACAAGUAGUGGAAAUUACGGCUUUUGGGACACCGGAGAAUGCCCUGUCAACGAGGAUCCUAACUGAAGC
This 227-nucleotide unclassified non-coding RNA is filed under the name Hevea brasiliensis (rubber tree). Lineage: Eukaryota; Viridiplantae; Streptophyta; Magnoliopsida; Malpighiales; Euphorbiaceae. The record is from RNAcentral.